GGUGAUGUAGCUAAGUGGUAGAGUACUUGACUAGCAAGCAGAAAGCCCUGGGUUCAAUCCCAGCAACAUAA
RNAcentral lists this transfer RNA (71 nucleotides) under Mus musculus (house mouse). It matches the Rfam family "tRNA". From Rfam's summary of the family: Transfer RNA (tRNA) molecules are approximately 80 nucleotides in length. Their secondary structure includes four short double-helical elements and three loops (D, anti-codon, and T loops). Further hydrogen bonds mediate the characteristic L-shaped molecular structure. tRNAs have two regions of fundamental functional importance: the anti-codon, which is responsible for specific mRNA codon recognition, and the 3' end, to which the tRNAs corresponding amino acid is attached (by aminoacyl-tRNA synthetases). tRNAs cope with the degeneracy of the genetic code in two manners: having more than one tRNA (with a specific anti-codon) for a particular amino acid; and 'wobble' base-pairing, i.e. permitting non-standard base-pairing at the 3rd anti-codon position. The record is from Rfam by way of RNAcentral. Lineage: Eukaryota; Metazoa; Chordata; Mammalia; Rodentia; Muridae.